This 75-nucleotide transfer RNA is filed under the name Desulforamulus aquiferis. RNAcentral describes it as "Desulfotomaculum aquiferis tRNA-Met". It matches the Rfam family "tRNA". From Rfam's summary of the family: Transfer RNA (tRNA) molecules are approximately 80 nucleotides in length. Their secondary structure includes four short double-helical elements and three loops (D, anti-codon, and T loops). Lineage: Bacteria; Bacillati; Bacillota; Clostridia; Eubacteriales; Peptococcaceae. The record is from RNAcentral.
CGCGGGAUAGAGCAGUUGGUAGCUCGUCGGGCUCAUAACCCGAAGUCGGGGGUUCAAGUCCCCCUCCCGCAACCA